UUUACGGAGAGUUUGAUCCUGGCUCAGGAUGAACGCUGGCGGCGUGCUUAACACAUGCAAGUCGAACGGUGAAGGGGGGCUUGCUCUCUGGAUCAGUGGCGAACGGGUGAGUAACACGUGAGCAAUCUGCCCCUGACUCUGGGAUAAGCGCUGGAAACGGCGUCUAAUACCGGAUACGAGCUGCGAAGGCAUCUUCAGCAGCUGGAAAGAACUUCGGUCAGGGAUGAGCUCGCGGCCUAUCAGCUAGUUGGUGAUGUAACGGCUCACCAAGGCGUCGACGGGUAGCCGGCCUGAGAGGGUGACCGGCCACACUGGGACUGAGACACGGCCCAGACUCCUACGGGAGGCAGCAGUGGGGAAUAUUGCACAAUGGGCGAAAGCCUGAUGCAGCAACGCCGCGUGAGGGACG
RNAcentral lists this ribosomal RNA (409 nucleotides) under Microbacterium sp. RNAcentral's name for it is "bacterial SSU rRNA". It matches the Rfam family "Bacterial small subunit ribosomal RNA", at positions 1 to 410 of the family's 1533-position model. The record is from RNAcentral. Lineage: Bacteria; Bacillati; Actinomycetota; Actinomycetes; Micrococcales; Microbacteriaceae.